UGAGGGAGAAGAUGAGGGGGACGAGCGAGAGAGUGAGUGAGAGAUCGGAGAUGAGGGAGAAUGACCGGCGACUUCGCCAGAAUAGGGGGCGGCGGUGGAGGUUCUCUGUGUGAGAACGAGAAGGAGCGAGAGAGUGGCGAGAAGAAGAGAGAGUGAACGAAGAAGAGAGAGGCGCAUACACGUGUUUUCUAUAAUUUGUUUUUUAUUUUUAUUUUAAUUUCGAAGCGUAAUAUCUACAUGGCGCUUGGCCGGACACGUUAAAUACCAGUUGCCGAAUUAUUUUUGCGGGCCACAAAUAAGAAAAAAAUGAAACGAUG
This 317-nucleotide long non-coding RNA is filed under the name Salvia miltiorrhiza (redroot sage). RNAcentral's name for it is "long non-coding RNA (SMIL_LNC003621)". Lineage: Eukaryota; Viridiplantae; Streptophyta; Magnoliopsida; Lamiales; Lamiaceae. The record is from RNAcentral.